CGUGUAGCCGGGCCGACAAGUCAGAUGUGAAAUCCACGGGCUUAACCCGUGAACUGCAUUUGAAACUGUUGGUCUUGAGUAUCGGAGAGGUAACCGGAAUUCCUAGUGUAGCGGUGAAAUGCGUAGAUAUUAGGAAGGAACACCAGUGGCGAAGGCGACCACCCGGACUGAUACUGACACUGAGGUGCGAAAGCGUGGGGAGCAAACA
RNAcentral lists this ribosomal RNA (208 nucleotides) under uncultured bacterium. Its description in RNAcentral is "partial 16S ribosomal RNA". It matches the Rfam family "Bacterial small subunit ribosomal RNA", at positions 568 to 774 of the family's 1533-position model. The record is from RNAcentral.